AGGUAAAAUAAUUCAUCUUAGUAGCAAACAAGGAGGAGAUGAAUGAUUGAAGAAUUUGUAUUUCAAUCUUCGCUGUCCUUUUUGAGGGGCCCCAUGACGCCGGCCACCAUUGCCACCUAUUGUUGAAUCCAAAUAAUGAUAAUGAUCCUCGAACUUUCAGACUUCGAACCGCUCACAUCAUCCGAAGACCAAUUACGUUCGGACGCAUCCCUUUUGACAUCCCUCAUUGACUGGUGGAGACCUGAAACCCACACCUUUCACUUUCGUUUUGGGGACCUUGCAUCUACACUGAAAGAUGUUUCUAGGAUCACUG
This is a long non-coding RNA of Triticum dicoccoides, 313 nucleotides long. RefSeq lists it as uncharacterized. The record is from RefSeq and is a predicted model, not a curated record. The transcript has 3 exons. Lineage: Eukaryota; Viridiplantae; Streptophyta; Magnoliopsida; Poales; Poaceae.